This 383-nucleotide ribosomal RNA is filed under the name uncultured Anaerolineaceae bacterium. RNAcentral's name for it is "bacterial SSU rRNA". It matches the Rfam family "Bacterial small subunit ribosomal RNA", at positions 984 to 1382 of the family's 1533-position model. Lineage: Bacteria; Bacillati; Chloroflexota; Anaerolineae; Anaerolineales; Anaerolineaceae. The record is from RNAcentral.
ACAUACAAGUAGUAGGAAAGGAAACUGGACGACCCUUCGGGAGCUUGUACAGGUGCUGCAUGGCUGUCGUCAGCUCGUGUCGUGAGAUGUUCGGUUAAGUCCGCUAACGAGCGCAACCCUCGCUGUGUGUUACAAGUGUCACACGGAACUGCCGGUCAUAAACCGGAGGAAGGUGGGAUGACGUCAAGUCAGCAUGGCCUUUAUAUCCUGGGCUACACACACGCUACAAUGGGAAGGGACAAUAGGUUGCGAAGCCGCGAGGCGGAGCCAAUCCAGCAAAACUUCCCUCAGUUCAGAUUGCAGGCUGCAACCCGCCUGCAUGAAGUUGGAGUUGCUAGUAAACGCAGGUCAGCCAUACUGCGUUGAAUACGUUCCCGGGGCUU